RNAcentral lists this long non-coding RNA (1994 nucleotides) under Citrus x clementina. RNAcentral's name for it is "Citrus clementina (C. clementina) long non-coding RNA (CCLE_LNC003230)". Lineage: Eukaryota; Viridiplantae; Streptophyta; Magnoliopsida; Sapindales; Rutaceae. The record is from RNAcentral.
UAAGUAUUUCUUUUUUUUUUGAUUCGCGGAUUUUUAUGAAUUUACAAAAGCAAAUUCAUAUACAAUCCACUGACUACGGAUUUUUAAAAUUUUAAUCCAAUCCAAUUUACCAAUCUAUAGAUCAAAUUUUUACCGAUCAGACGGAUUGAGUAAAUCGGAUUGGAUUUCGAACACCUCUAAUUAUAAUCAUGCGACCCUUAUAUACUUUAAUAAAAGAAAGCAAAUUGUGUUAACAGUUGUAUUUGGAUCGUGUGAGAUUUAUGUUUUAUACAGACACAAUCUAUUUAUUAAUCAUACGAAAAAAAUAAAUAAAUAAAAACUUGAAAUAAAGUAUAUACAAAUAACACAUUAUGUUUUAUUUAAUAACUAGCUAAUAUUGCUACACAUGUAACACGAGACACUAACCCACAUAAUAUUUAUUUAUCUUAAUUUACAUGAAUAUCACCCAUUCAUUAACUUAUUUGUAUGUAUCAACAAUAUUAUAUAAGAUUUUAUACAUUAUAUCAAACCUAUUGAAAUGAUAAAAUUAUACUUAUUCAAAUAAUUAAUAACAUCCAAACUCAUAUAAUGUUAGCUCAAACAAUGAAAUGUCACAUAUAUCUUUCGAUGUUUUGGUAAAUAUGCAAAAAUGUCAUCAUUUUCAUGUGUCAAAACUUGAAACUCUAAUCUGAUACAAGUAUUGAUGGGGAUGACAUGGACACAAUCCAUUUACCCCAAACCUAGUUAUUUAUAUCAAAAUCACAUCAAAUUCUAUCACCUCUACAAUUAUUAAUCAUAGAGUUUGAGAGAUUAUGAGUUAAUUAAUCUCUUAGCAUGCGACAAUUUGGUGAGAUGCUUGCUCCACCAUAUGUUAAUUUAGCAAGUAUAGCGUUUUUAAUAUUUAAUACUAUUGUUUUUUUUUUCUUAUGGCAUCAAUUUUUGAAAACCGAACAGGUAAAUUCAAUUACUGCAUUAAUUGUUGCAACACUUCCUUUAUUGUAAAAUCAUAAUUAACGGUGCGUUUCUCAUUAAACGAUCAUAACUUCUUUAUUUUAUUUUUUAUUUUUAUUAUCUCUUAACAUCCUUGAAGAAGUUUUAAAAAUAAAAUUUAUAGGUCACGAAUAAAUGAAUAUAAUAGAACUGGAGUUCAAAUUAAUGAAGUACGUGUAGGAGUACUUUGCUAAAAAUCCUCAAAGUUGACGACAAAACGAGAUGGGAACUAAAAAGUACACGUGUAGGGUCACAAUUUAAUUACCAAGGGCAUUCACGCACAAACUCUAUGAAUAAUCAAUUAUCCGAAAGGUGGGACAGAAAAGGAAUUCAAUUAAGUCCCUGCCUGUCCUGUGCAUCCGCCACGUUGGAGGUGCAAGCUGUAAAGCAAAGGCUGUACUCCAUGAUGUGACGCAACAAAAAGGCCACGUGACUGAGGAGGCUACUGUCAGCGAGUCCCGUCGUCCGUCGCUGACCCAACCCCACAGUUUUGUUUUUUCGGCAGCGUAAAUGGUAAAAGGUAAUUUACACACUACACUCCUCGUUGCUUGACACAAAUCAAACAACAUUGCUAGUUGCCAAAUUGCACCAGCUAAGACCUGUUAAUUUUCAUUUUUGACACCUGGCUCCAUUUAUUUUAGCUUUUAUAACUUAAUUGCCAAGGCGUUUGAUUAAUAUUAUUAUUGUUGCAUUGUUACUUUGGCACCAUAACUAACUAUAUUAUUUUUUAUGAAAAACUUGUGGUAUAAUUGUAAUAUUGUGUUACAGUUAUAUUCAAUUAUUAAAUGUCAAUGGACCCUAAUAAUUUAAUUACAUUUAAUAACUGAAUGUAAUUAUAGUACGGUACCAUAAUUAUACCAUAACUUGAUCUCAUUUCUUAACUUUAAAAUAGUCACAAGUAACUUAUAAAUUGAUAGUUAGUGAUAUUUAUUAAAUAUCUAUUACUUCGCCAAUGACUGAAAGUGAGCAUUAGAGAUUUAAUAAAUACAACAUUAAUGUAUGGACCAAAAAUCCACAGUCAAAAC